This 501-nucleotide ribosomal RNA is filed under the name uncultured bacterium. RNAcentral's name for it is "partial 16S ribosomal RNA". It matches the Rfam family "Bacterial small subunit ribosomal RNA", at positions 30 to 523 of the family's 1533-position model. The record is from RNAcentral.
AUUGAACGCUGGCGGCAUGCCUUACACAUGCAAGUCGAACGGCAGCACGGGUGCUUGCACCUGGUGGCGAGUGGCGAACGGGUGAGUAAUACAUCGGAACGUACCUUAUCGUGGGGGAUAACGCAGCGAAAGCUGUGCUAAUACCGCAUACGCCCUGAGGGGGAAAGCGGGGGAUCGCAAGACCUCGCGCGAUUAGAGCGGCCGAUGCCUGAUUAGCUUGUUGGUGGGGUAAAAGCCCACCAAGGCGACGAUCAGUAGCUGGUCUGAGAGGACGAUCAGCCAAAAUGGGACAGAGACACAGCCCAGACUCCUACGUGAGGCAGCAGUGGGAAAUUUUGGACAAUGGGGGCAACCCUCAUCCAGCAAUGCCGCGUGAGUGAAGAAGGCCUACGGGUUGUAAAGCUCUUUUGUCAGGGAAGAAACACCGGCUCUAACACAGUCCGGGAAUGACGGUACCUGAAGAAUAAGCACCGGCUAACUACGUGCCAGCCGCCGCCGUAA